This 1620-nucleotide ribosomal RNA is filed under the name Salmonella enterica. Its description in RNAcentral is "bacterial LSU rRNA". It matches the Rfam family "Bacterial large subunit ribosomal RNA", at positions 711 to 2312 of the family's 2925-position model. The record is from RNAcentral. RNAcentral also lists the same sequence under 3 other names. Lineage: Bacteria; Pseudomonadati; Pseudomonadota; Gammaproteobacteria; Enterobacterales; Enterobacteriaceae.
AGACCCGAAACCCGGUGAUCUAGCCAUGGGCAGGUUGAAGGUUGGGUAACACUAACUGGAGGACCGAACCGACUAAUGUUGAAAAAUUAGCGGAUGACCUGUGGCUGGGGGUGAAAGGCCAAUCAAACCGGGAGAUAGCUGGUUCUCCCCGAAAGCUAUUUAGGUAGCGCCUCGUGAAUUCAUCUCCGGGGGUAGAGCACUGUUUCGGCUAGGGGGCCAUCCCGGCUUACCAACCCGAUGCAAACUGCGAAUACCGGAGAAUGUUAUCACGGGAGACACACGGCGGGUGCUAACGUCCGUCGUGAAGAGGGAAACAACCCAGACCGCCAGCUAAGGUCCCAAAGUCAUGGUUAAGUGGGAAACGAUGUGGGAAGGCCCAGACAGCCAGGAUGUUGGCUUAGAAGCAGCCAUCAUUUAAAGAAAGCGUAAUAGCUCACUGGUCGAGUCGGCCUGCGCGGAAGAUGUAACGGGGCUAAACCAUGCACCGAAGCUGCGGCAGCGACACUGUGUGUUGUUGGGUAGGGGAGCGUUCUGUAAGCCUGUGAAGGUGUGUCGUGAGGCAUGCUGGAGGUAUCAGAAGUGCGAAUGCUGACAUAAGUAACGAUAAAGCGGGUGAAAAGCCCGCUCGCCGGAAGACCAAGGGUUCCUGUCCAACGUUAAUCGGGGCAGGGUGAGUCGACCCCUAAGGCGAGGCCGAAAGGCGUAGUCGAUGGGAAACGGGUUAAUAUUCCCGUACUUGGUGUUACUGCGAAGGGGGGACGGAGAAGGCUAUGUUGGCCGGGCGACGGUUGUCCCGGUUUAAGCGUGUAGGUGUGUGUUCCAGGUAAAUCCGGUUCACUUUAACACUGAGGCGUGACGACGAGGCACUACGGUGCUGAAGCAACAAAUGCCCUGCUUCCAGGAAAAGCCUCUAAGCAUCAGGUAACAUCAAAUCGUACCCCAAACCGACACAGGUGGUCAGGUAGAGAAUACCAAGGCGCUUGAGAGAACUCGGGUGAAGGAACUAGGCAAAAUGGUGCCGUAACUUCGGGAGAAGGCACGCUGACACGUAGGUGAAGUGAUUUACUCAUGGAGCUGAAGUCAGUCGAAGAUACCAGCUGGCUGCAACUGUUUAUUAAAAACACAGCACUGUGCAAACACGAAAGUGGACGUAUACGGUGUGACGCCUGCCCGGUGCCGGAAGGUUAAUUGAUGGGGUCAGCGCAAGCGAAGCUCCUGAUCGAAGCCCCGGUAAACGGCGGCCGUAACUAUAACGGUCCUAAGGUAGCGAAAUUCCUUGUCGGGUAAGUUCCGACCUGCACGAAUGGCGUAAUGAUGGCCAGGCUGUCUCCACCCGAGACUCAGUGAAAUUGAACUCGCUGUGAAGAUGCAGUGUACCCGCGGCAAGACGGAAAGACCCCGUGAACCUUUACUAUAGCUUGACACUGAACAUUGAGCCUUGAUGUGUAGGAUAGGUGGGAGGCUUUGAAGUGUGGACGCCAGUCUGCAUGGAGCCGACCUUGAAAUACCACCCUUUAAUGUUUGAUGUUCUAACGUGGACCCGUUACCCGGGUUGCGGACAGUGUCUGGUGGGUAGUUUGACUGGGGCGGUCUCCUCCUAAAGAGUAACGGAGGAGCACG